RNAcentral lists this ribosomal RNA (497 nucleotides) under uncultured bacterium. Its description in RNAcentral is "partial 16S ribosomal RNA". It matches the Rfam family "Bacterial small subunit ribosomal RNA", at positions 28 to 507 of the family's 1533-position model. The record is from RNAcentral.
GAUGAACGCUGGCGGCGUGCCUAAUACAUGCAAGUCGAGCGAACGGACGAGAAGCUUGCUUUUCUGAUGUUAGCGGCGGACGGGUGAGUAACACGUGGAUAACCUACCUAUAAGACUGGGAUAACUUCGGGAAACCGGAGCUAAUACCGGAUAAUAUUUUGAACCGCAUGGUUCAAAAGUGAAAGACGGUCUUGCUGUCACUUAUAGAUGGAUCCGCGCUGCAUUAGCUAGUUGGUAAGGUAACGGCUUACCAAGGCAACGAUGCAUAGCCGACCUGAGAGGGUGAUCGGCCACACUGGAACUGAGACACGGUCCAGACUUCUACGGGAGGCAGCAGUAGGGAAUCUUCCGCAAUGGGCGAAAGCCUGACGGAGCAACGCCGCGUGAGUGAUGAAGGUCUUCGGAUCGUAAAACUCUGUUAUUAGGGAAGAACAUAUGUGUAAGUAACUGUGCACAUCUUGACGGUACCCAAUCAGAAAGCCACGGCUAACUACGUG